UGCCAGCAGCCGCGGUAAUACGUAGGGGGCAAGCGUUAUCCGGAUUUACUGGGUGUAAAGGGUACGUAGGCGGUUUACUAAGUCAGAUGUGAAAGCCCGGAGCUCAACUUCGGGACUGCAUUUGAAACUGGUGAACUAGAGUACAGGAGAGGUAAGUGGAAUUCCUAGUGUAGCGGUGAAAUGCGUAGAUAUUAGGAAGAACACCAGUGGCGAAGGCGGCUUACUGGACUGUAACUGACGCUGAGGUGCGAAAGCGUGGGGAGCGAACAGGAUUAGAUA
RNAcentral lists this ribosomal RNA (279 nucleotides) under uncultured bacterium. RNAcentral's name for it is "partial 16S ribosomal RNA". It matches the Rfam family "Bacterial small subunit ribosomal RNA", at positions 506 to 784 of the family's 1533-position model. The record is from RNAcentral.